GGAAGCAGCUCAGUUGGUAGAGUGCUUGCCUCUCAUGCACAAGGCCCUGGGUCCAAUCCCCAAUACCG
Molecule: transfer RNA, 68 nt
Filed under: Marmota monax (woodchuck)
Lineage: Eukaryota; Metazoa; Chordata; Mammalia; Rodentia; Sciuridae
Description: tRNA.Glu
Source: RNAcentral